AGAAAAUGAGGGGAAGGACUGCAACUGCUUUUAACCAAGAGUUGAUUACAUUUCACAGCUGGUAUGGGAGAAGGAACAGAAGGGGGAAGCUACCGAUGAAGGUCGGGGAGAAAGCAAGGAUAAACCAGCAGGUUUGGAAGCACACAAAGAGGGUCAGAAUUGUACCGAGGGGAAGCCCGGGGGAACGUCAGAAGCAGGGAGAAGAGGCCUGGGCACCUGCAGUGACCAGGGACCGGUGGCUGGCGAGGCAGAGCACAUGGCUGAAAACGUGUCACGUGGGAUCCCCUGGAAGAUGACUGCAUUGCUCACGGUCCUUGCUUUCAUGUAGGAGACCUCAGGGCAAUAGACUUCAAAGCUCUGGAUUUUCCUUUACUCCAAAGGAAAGUAAA
Athene cunicularia (burrowing owl) is the source of this 389-nucleotide long non-coding RNA. RefSeq lists it as uncharacterized. The transcript has 3 exons. The record is from RefSeq and is a predicted model, not a curated record. Lineage: Eukaryota; Metazoa; Chordata; Aves; Strigiformes; Strigidae.